RNAcentral lists this transfer RNA (68 nucleotides) under Citrobacter freundii. RNAcentral's name for it is "tRNA-Val". It matches the Rfam family "tRNA". Rfam says of the family: Transfer RNA (tRNA) molecules are approximately 80 nucleotides in length. Lineage: Bacteria; Pseudomonadati; Pseudomonadota; Gammaproteobacteria; Enterobacterales; Enterobacteriaceae. The record is from RNAcentral. RNAcentral also lists the same sequence under 51 other names.
GUGAUUAGCUCAGCUGGGAGAGCACCUCCCUUACAAGGAGGGGGUCGGCGGUUCGAUCCCGUCAUCAC